CUCAUUUUAGUAACUGCUGCCAGAAGCUGAGAAGACGCGCGAACCAGCCACGAAAUCCACUAGUGGAUGUGCAUGCUGUCAUGUAUUCAAAGCUGAACGCUCCUAUCUAUAUAUAUCUCUUGUACUAGACAAUGAAAGGACACAUCUUGCUUGGUUAAAAUUCAGAAUACACAAACUCGUGGAGUUUUGUUUAUGCGUGAGUCUUGAGAGGCUUGCAAAACUUGUUCUUUCGAUUCCUGAGGGAGUUGUAGAACGCCGAACUGCGGUUCAUCCAGUUUGUGCCUUCACGUCUAUACGGCGUGAUUGCGUGGGCUGUUCGUCGGUACGUGGAAGGGUGAUUGUCUCGGUAGUUCGUCGCGUGGACAGCCUCGCGGUGCACUGCCUCUUCACCAGGUCACGCAGCGACAAGUUAUCAAGUUCGCGAAUCCUACGAGAAGAUCGGGCCACAACGACUUGUCUCACGCUAUCCCUAGGCGUGAGCAUAUCAUCUGGUACCAAAGCCUUCGUUUCCUCGGUAGGAUUGUUCUUGAUUUUGGUAGGAUAGAGUUUAAAUACCUACUGUCCACUGAGAGCCAAAAAGAAAACCUACAGCCCAAAUUCAUAUGUGCUACUGAUUUUGUAGUUUGCUUUAUCGAGUUUUAAUCCUUUAAUAUUUGUCUAGUUGCUGAAUUUUUCUUUUCCACAUUGUUCUAGUUAUUAUCUUUGUUCUAAUCAUCAAAUUGCUUGCUGCAUGUACCCAUCCAUCCCACCCUUGAUCUGAUCAUCAUUGCUUGCUGCGUAUAUAUAAACAAAAAAAAUACCCACCCAUCCCACCUUUGUUUUCUAACCGCCACAUAUUCUCCACCGCAGUUUCUUGUUUUUGUGCUGCACCAUCCAUCUUAGUGAUCCCCUUUAGUUGAAAGUUAUGCUGCGUUUGACACAGAGGUUAAAAGAAAAGAUGUCUAUGGGUCAAAAGAAGGACUGAAAACGAGUUUUUGUUCCAAAAAAAAAGAGAAAAAAAAAGAAAAGCAAGAAAAAAAAAAGAAAAACAAAAAGAGAACUGUGUGCAGCACACCAAAAAGGGGUUUGGGCAGCAACAAGUUUUCGGUUGGUGCAAAUUGGUGAUCAUCUAUCCACUUACUACAUCUCAUUCCUUUCUUUGUGCAUCCUUUCCUUUAUAUUCAGCAACUUAGACUUCUGUUCUUGGAUUAUUAUUUGGUUUUGCAUCACUACAUUUCAGUGCAUUCCACUAACAUAUUACCCCACCAAGCUCCAC
This 1255-nucleotide long non-coding RNA is filed under the name Sorghum bicolor (sorghum). RNAcentral describes it as "long non-coding RNA (SBIC_LNC017145)". The record is from RNAcentral. Lineage: Eukaryota; Viridiplantae; Streptophyta; Magnoliopsida; Poales; Poaceae.